UAGUGGCGAACGGGUGAGUAACACGUGGGCAAUCUGCCCUUCACUCUGGGACAAGCCCUGGAAACGGGGUCUAAUACCGGAUAACACUCUGUCCCGCAUGGGACGGGGUUAAAAGCUCCGGCGGUGAAGGAUGAGCCCGCGGCCUAUCAGCUUGUUGGUGGGGUGAUGGCCUACCAAGGCGACGACGGGUAGCCGGCCUGAGAGGGCGACCGGCCACACUGGGACUGAGACACGGCCCAGACUCCUACGGGAGGCAGCAGUGGGGAAUAUUGCACAAUGGGCGAAAGCCUGAUGCAGCGACGCCGCGUGAGGGAUGACGGCCUUCGGGUUGUAAACCUCUUUCAGCAGGGAAGAAGCGAGAGUGACGGUACCUGCAGAAGAAGCGCCGGCUAACUACGUGCCAGCAGCCGCGGUAAUACGUAGGGCGCAAGCGUUGUCCGGAAUUAUUGGGCGUAAAGAGCUCGUAGGCGGCUUGUUGCGUCGGUUGUGAAAGCCCGGGGCUUAACCCCGGGUCUGCAGUCGAUACGGGCAGGCUAGAGUGUGGUAGGGGAGAUCGGAAUUCCU
RNAcentral lists this ribosomal RNA (564 nucleotides) under Streptomyces sp. 319A05. RNAcentral describes it as "bacterial SSU rRNA". It matches the Rfam family "Bacterial small subunit ribosomal RNA", at positions 93 to 671 of the family's 1533-position model. RNAcentral also lists the same sequence under 3 other names. Lineage: Bacteria; Bacillati; Actinomycetota; Actinomycetes; Kitasatosporales; Streptomycetaceae. The record is from RNAcentral.